Molecule: small nuclear RNA, 107 nt
Filed under: Chinchilla lanigera (long-tailed chinchilla)
Lineage: Eukaryota; Metazoa; Chordata; Mammalia; Rodentia; Chinchillidae
Source: RNAcentral
AUGUUCACUUUGGCAGCACAAGUACUAAAAUGGGAAUGAUACAGAGAACAGUAGCAUGGCCCCUGCACAAGGAUGACAUAUAAAUUCAUGAAGUGUUCCAUAUUUUC